This 45-nucleotide non-coding RNA is filed under the name Schistosoma margrebowiei. The record is from RNAcentral. Lineage: Eukaryota; Metazoa; Platyhelminthes; Trematoda; Strigeidida; Schistosomatidae.
CUCCAGCUGACGAGUCUCAAACAGGACGAAACGCUCAUCCUGGAU